RNAcentral lists this ribosomal RNA (464 nucleotides) under uncultured bacterium. RNAcentral's name for it is "partial 16S ribosomal RNA". It matches the Rfam family "Bacterial small subunit ribosomal RNA", at positions 339 to 795 of the family's 1533-position model. The record is from RNAcentral.
CUACGGGUCGCUGCAGUGGGGAAUAUUGCACAAUGGGCGCAAGCCUGAUGCAGCCAUGCCGCGUGUAUGAAGAAGGCCUUCGGGUUGUAAAGUACUUUCAGCGGGGAGGAAGGGAGUAAAGUUAAUACCUUUGCUCAUUGACGUUACCCGCAGAAGAAGCACCGGCUAACUCCGUGACAGCAGCCGCGGUAAUACGGAGGGUGCAAGCGUUAAUCGGAAUUACUGGGCGUAAAGCGCACGCAGGCGGUUUGUUAAGUCAGAUGUGAAAUCCCCGGGCUCAACCUGGGAACUGCAUCUGAUACUGGCAAGCUUGAGUCUCGUAGAGGGGGGUAGAAUUCCAGGUGUAGCGGUGAAAUGCGUAGAGAUCUGGAGGAAUACCGGUGGCGAAGGCGGCCCCCUGGACGAAGACUGACGCUCAGGUGCGAAAGCGUGGGGAGCAAACAGGAUUAGAUACCCUCGUAGUC